GUUUACAGAAAGUCAGAGAUGAUAUCUAUCAAAAAAUAAAUAAAUAAAGCCCAUUUGAAGCUUGAGACAGUAUAAACUAUUCAGAUAAAUUCAGAUCCCUAUUAAUCCCUCUAAUUAUACUAUAUCCAGCUGGAAUGGAUAGUAUCACAGCCACCCAAAACUAAUGAUCAAAUUCUAACAUGAUAGUUGAUACACAUCUAGGAAAGAGUAAAGGUCUAAGACCUGAGGCUUUCAGUUUGGACAGCAUUAUGUCGUUCCGUUUCUUUUCUUCGUACGUUUAGAAGAGUGGAAAAUAAUGAUUAAAAAUAAUUUUCAAGUCCAGAAAAACAAAAAUUCCAGUAACUGGAAAAGUUGCAAUCGCUUGUAUCAGACACAUUACACGACAUCUUAGCUCACAGGACGAACAGGCAAA
Molecule: unclassified non-coding RNA, 412 nt
Filed under: Hevea brasiliensis (rubber tree)
Lineage: Eukaryota; Viridiplantae; Streptophyta; Magnoliopsida; Malpighiales; Euphorbiaceae
Source: RNAcentral